ACCUGACCCCAUGCCGAACUCAGAAGUGAAACGCCGUAGCGCCGAUGGUAGUGUGGGGUCUCCCCAUGCGAGAGUAGGACACUGCCAGGCA
RNAcentral lists this ribosomal RNA (91 nucleotides) under Serratia marcescens. Lineage: Bacteria; Pseudomonadati; Pseudomonadota; Gammaproteobacteria; Enterobacterales; Yersiniaceae. RNAcentral also lists the same sequence under 2 other names. The record is from RNAcentral.